UUAAUGAAAUGGGCGAAGCCUGAUCCAGCAAUGCCGCGUGCAGGAUGAAGGCCCUCGGGUUGUAAACUAGCUUUUGUACGGAACGAAAAGCCUAGGGGCUAAUAUCCCCGGGUCAUGACGGUACCGUAAGAAUAAGCACCGGCUAACUACGUGCCAGCAGCCGCGGUAAUAUGA
RNAcentral lists this ribosomal RNA (174 nucleotides) under uncultured Comamonas sp. RNAcentral describes it as "partial 16S ribosomal RNA". It matches the Rfam family "Bacterial small subunit ribosomal RNA", at positions 359 to 528 of the family's 1533-position model. Lineage: Bacteria; Pseudomonadati; Pseudomonadota; Betaproteobacteria; Burkholderiales; Comamonadaceae. The record is from RNAcentral.